This is a long non-coding RNA of Amphiprion ocellaris (clown anemonefish), 1274 nucleotides long. RefSeq lists it as uncharacterized. The transcript is spliced from 2 exons. NCBI's taxonomy places the organism in Eukaryota, Metazoa, Chordata, Actinopteri, Pomacentridae. The record is from RefSeq and is a predicted model, not a curated record.
CUCUUUUUUCAUUAUGAAAUCUUGUUGAGAGCUUCCAGUCUACGAGAGCUAACUAGUUAGCCACUAGCAAAACACUAAGGCGAGCGAGCAGCUUGACAAGCAAAUACCAGACGAUUAAUAGUAGCUGUAGUAUAGUUGUACAAGCAGUAGUAGUAAUACUAAAAGUACAAGCAGUAGUAGUAGUUUAAACAGCUGUUAGAGUCGUAGAAGUAGUAUCAGCAUUUGUAAUAUUAUUACAAGUUGUAGUAGCAGUGCCAGUAUCAGCAGCAGUAGUGUACCACCACCACUACUACUAGUAGUAGUCACAUUGCUAUGACUACCACCAAUACUACCAAUAGUAGUUAUAAAGCCUAACUCAUAUAUAUCCAGAUUACCAUCUAUGUUCUUCCUCCAAACCCAUUUUAUGAUUGGGAUUACAGGCAGUUCUUUAGGACUGCUCUCAAAUAAUUGAAAUGUUACUAAACAAGGUUAUACUUAUCAAAUUAAAUAGCUCUGGUCUCCAGUAUAUUGGCGAAUUCAGUUAUUUGUACUUAAUUUAUUAGCAUUUCUUUUUUAAUAUGUUGUGUACAGACUGACUUACUUCUCUGUCUACUUUUCUUACUCCAUGUAGGUUUCCCAGAGACUAUGGGUUGAGGAGGAAUUGGAAGUUUGUCGGCUUAGACCUGGUGUCAUUCCAUCAGUGUUAAACUUCCCAGCUCAUCUUGGAAGAGUACGUGCCAGAAAGACCACGACCAAGCAGCCUUGAGAUCUUAGGCAGCGUCUCCCUGAGGUCCCUCUCUAUCUCCCCACACAUCCACCAACCACUGGAACACAUCUCCAAAGUUCUGCCGGACCAGCUCAGCUUCCCCUCAGAAGAAGUGCUGCCACCUGCCAGAUGAAGGAGCCUUUUGAGAGGCAGCUGGCAUCGUGAUUGGACUGUACUUUGGUCUGUUCCAAUCCAGCUUCAGCUCCAGAGACGGCAGGCGGGACGAGUCAACGGAGGCCGGGUGGACGAAGGCAUGCAGCUGAGUACAAUCCAGAAAACAACAGAGGAGGAGUGCAGCGGCCCAGGGCCAGAACAAACAGAGUAGCAUCGUAUGUCUCUUAGAAAACAUCAUAGUAUAGCCUUUGGUAUGAAAAAACGCCAUCAUAUACAUCGUAUAUUGUACAAAUAACAAGUCAAAGGAAAGAGACAUACAUUGUAGAAUUGUAGUAAUUGUGGGCUGACUGAUUUACUGAUUAUCAGUAUCUUAUUUUUUACUGAUUUACGGUAAUAAAUACAUUUAAAAAUGGUG